CGGUUGGCCAACAGGCGAAGACGGUUGCCUGGGUGAUAGCGGAUCGUGAAUAACGCUCCGCGCCCCGGGGCCGGAGCACUGAUUUCUUGGCUUUGACUCCUAGGGUGACAACCCAAGGUUUGCAGAUCCUCCGAGGGUCUAGAAUACUGAGGUGGAAGACACCUUUUGCUUUAGGGUGCGUGUGUAUGGAUUUGCCCUGACGCGUCCUGGUCACGGAGAGAUGUCAAGGCGCAGGAGUCUGGUUACCUGAGGUCUCCUCCGCCUCGGGUCUAGUUUCAGGAUCUCGGGUCGUCCUCCGCACCAUCCGGGAGUCGUUUGAGCAGGGUCAGAGGGUAGAGCCGGAGGCCGCAGGCUCACCGCGGACUGACGCACGCGUGUGGACAGGAUGCCGAGCCGUUGUCCCGGGGUCGCGGGGCCGCCCGCCUUGGCCCGGACGGAAGGCAGCGAAGGGUCAGCUGGACAGUCUUAUCACCAGAAUUCCAAAGGCACUGGUGAGCAGCAUAAAGCAGAGAGAAUCAAGGAGGGACACAGAAUGUCCUCACACACUGCCAAACUGCAGGAGUUAUGGAGAACUACUCAAAUCCAAACAAUUCACAUCCCUAAAUCAAUGACAGAUGCGUCUUUUCUAAAGCAUCCAGAACUCACCUCAGGCCAGAAGCGCUACCUGUGCAGCAUUGCUAAGAUCUGCAACUCCAGCUAUCUGAGGACCUUAAUGAAGAGGCAGUACAUGCAUCUGUUUCAUCACGGGUUACAGAAGCCAGGUGUCCUCACUCAUCAUAGAAGCCAUAUCAGCUCUCGAUACUCACAGAAACAGCAUUCCCCCUGCACUACAUGGAGACACCAUCUGGAGAGAGAAGACUCUCUGGGCAUUGCAGCAGAAGCACCUGAAAUGAUCAUACAUGCCCUUUGGAGACCCCUGAGACACAAAGAAGGGUCUGUCUGGUUCUUGAGUUUAAGAAGGAAAAACCACCCAGUUCUGUGUACAGAAUCUGGGGAGCCUCCUGAGAUUAAAACUCCCAUUUCCUACAAUCACUCCCCUAAACUCAGAUGAGGGAGGCCACUUCCUCUUCCUUGAAGUGAGUGGGAUAUGACAUUAAGGGCGUCUGAGUUUCGGUGACAGGA
Molecule: long non-coding RNA, 1122 nt
Filed under: Rattus norvegicus (Norway rat)
Lineage: Eukaryota; Metazoa; Chordata; Mammalia; Rodentia; Muridae
Description: long non-coding RNA NONRATT007533
Source: RNAcentral